This 381-nucleotide ribosomal RNA is filed under the name Stipecampus cristatus. RNAcentral describes it as "partial 12S ribosomal RNA". It matches the Rfam family "Bacterial small subunit ribosomal RNA", at positions 794 to 1383 of the family's 1533-position model. The record is from RNAcentral. Lineage: Eukaryota; Metazoa; Chordata; Actinopteri; Syngnathiformes; Syngnathidae.
GCAUAGCCGUAAACAUAGAUAAUCUAUGAUAUCCGCCUGGGGACUACGAGCAUUAGCUUGAAACCCAAAGGACUUGGCGGUGCUUUAGACCCACCUAGAGGAGCCUGUUCUAGAACUGAUAACCCCCGCUAAACCUCACCCUCCCUUGUUAAAUCCGCCUAUAUACCGCCGUCGUAAGCUUACCCUAUGAAGGCAUAAUUAGUGAGCAAAGUCAGUACAACCCAAAACGUCAGGUCGAGGUGUAGUGCAUGAGAGGGGAAGAAAUGGGCUACAUUCGUCCACCGACGAACAACGAAUGAUCUAUUGAAAACAUAGAACUGAAGGAGGAUUUAGCAGUAAGCAGGAAAUAGAGUGUCCUUCUGAAACUGGCUCUGAAGCGCG